Molecule: ribosomal RNA, 349 nt
Filed under: uncultured bacterium
Lineage: Bacteria
Description: bacterial SSU rRNA
Rfam family: Bacterial small subunit ribosomal RNA
Source: RNAcentral
AGAGUUUGAUCCUGGCUCAGAUUGAACGCUGGCGGCGUGCUUAACACAUGCAAGUCGAACGAGAAAGUUCCUUCGGGAAUGAGUAGAGUGGCGCACGGGUGAGUAACGCGUGGAUAAUCUACCGGGGAGUGGGGAAUAACAGUUGGAAACGGCUGCUAAUACCGCAUACGCUGCAUAUAUGUCUAUGCAGGAAAGGGGGCCUCUGCAUAUGCUUCCGCUUUUCGAUGAGUCCGCGUCCCAUUAGCUUGUUGGCGGGGUAACGGCCACAAGGCGACGAUGGGUAGCUGGUCUGAGAGGAUGACCAGCCACACUGGGACUGGAACACGGCCCAGACUCCGUACGGGAGGCA